This 253-nucleotide ribosomal RNA is filed under the name uncultured bacterium. Its description in RNAcentral is "partial 16S ribosomal RNA". It matches the Rfam family "Bacterial small subunit ribosomal RNA", at positions 524 to 776 of the family's 1533-position model. The record is from RNAcentral.
UACGGAGGAUCCAAGCGUUAUCCGGAUUUAUUGGGUUUAAAGGGUGCGUAGGCGGCCAGUUAAGUCAGGGGUGAAAGACGGUAGCUCAACUAUCGCAGUGCCUUUGAUACUGAUUGGCUUGAAUGUACUUGAGGUAGGCGGAAUGUGACAAGUAGCGGUGAAAUGCAUAGAUAUGUCACAGAACACCAAUUGCGAAGGCAGCUUACUAAAGUAUAACUGACGCUGAGGCACGAAAGUGCGGGGAUCAAACAGG